AUUGAACGCUGGCGGCAGGCCUAACACAUGCAAGUCGAGCGGAUGAAGGGAGCUUGCUCCUGGAUUCAGCGGCGGACGGGUGAGUAAUGCCUAGGAAUCUGCCUGGUAGUGGGGGAUAACGUCCGGAAACGGGCGCUAAUACCGCAUACGUCCUGAGGGAGAAAGUGGGGGAUCUUCGGACCUCACGCUAUCAGAUGAGCCUAGGUCGGAUUAGCUAGUUGGUGGGGUAAAGGCCUACCAAGGCGACGAUCCGUAACUGGUCUGAGAGGAUGAUCAGUCACACUGGAACUGAGACACGGUCCAGACUCCUACGGGAGGCAGCAGUGGGGAAUAUUGGACAAUGGGCGAAAGCCUGAUCCAGCCAUGCCGCGUGUGUGAAGAAGGUCUUCGGAUUGUAAAGCACUUUAAGUUGGGAGGAAGGGCAGUAAGUUAAUACCUUGCUGUUUUGACGUUACCAACAGAAUAGGCGCCGGCUAACUUCGUG
RNAcentral lists this ribosomal RNA (484 nucleotides) under uncultured bacterium. RNAcentral describes it as "partial 16S ribosomal RNA". It matches the Rfam family "Bacterial small subunit ribosomal RNA", at positions 30 to 507 of the family's 1533-position model. The record is from RNAcentral.